ACGCACGCUGGCGGCGUGCCUAAUACAUGCAAGUCGAGCGAACCAAUGGGAGCUUGCUCCCUGAGGUUAGCGGCGGACGGGUGAGUAACACGUGGGUAACCUGCCUGUAAGAUUGGGAUAACUCCGGGAAACCGGAGCUAAUACCGGAUAAUAUUUUGAACCGCAUGGUUCAAAAUUGAAAGACGGCUUCGGCUGUCACUUACAGAUGGACCCGCGGCGCAUUAGCUAGUUGGUGAGGUAACGGCUCACCAAGGCGACGAUGCGUAGCCGACCUGAGAGGGUGAUCAGCCACACUGGGACUGAGACACGGCCCAGACUCCUACGGGAGGCAGCAGUAGGGAAUCUUCCGCAAUGGACGAAAGUCUGACGGAGCAACGCCGCGUGAACGAUGAAGGCCUUCGGGUCGUAAAGUUCUGUUGUUAGGGAAGAACAAGUACCAGAGUAACUGCUGGUACCUUGACGGUACCUAACCAGAAAGCCACGGCUAACUACGUG
This 495-nucleotide ribosomal RNA is filed under the name uncultured bacterium. RNAcentral describes it as "partial 16S ribosomal RNA". It matches the Rfam family "Bacterial small subunit ribosomal RNA", at positions 29 to 507 of the family's 1533-position model. The record is from RNAcentral.